AAUUGUGUAAUGUCAAUGCACUGGAAUUAAAAAUAAGCUUCCUAUGCGAAACGAGCACAAAAUAUACUUCAUAGUUGAUUUUUUUUCUCUCUGAUAUUUUGCAACAAGAGAGUAGCUAUGGUUCUUAGUAAAUCAGCCAAAAUCAUGCUGAGUUGGGUCGGUAUCAUGGUGGUAGGAGUUUCUUCAUUCGCCUACGCCAAGAUCAGUGUGGACAAGAAUCGGUAUGAGAUCUUGAAGAGCAAGAACAGAAUGAAGAAGUUAAAUGAAGAAAUUCCAGAUGGAGAGCAUGUGAGAUACGCAAACAUCAGAAAAUGAAGAGUUGCUCGCGUCUUUUGUCAGCAUCUACUUUAAGAGACAGCAUUAACUUGAUGAAUAGUGGAUGGUGGAUUAUAUAAGGCUGCAGUAUGAUAGAACUUCAAAGAUUUCGGAUAAUUUUUUUCCUUUUAACUCUCUGAGAUGCAACAUUGACUUUUGAUGUCUGUGACAUUUUUUUAUGGUAAUGUUUAGAGACAUAUACACAGGAGGAUGACGACUUCAACCAGUAUUCUAGGGAUGCUGGUUUUCUCUACCUGAUUGGGAUGGCAUGUAUAGUGAUUUUAAGUCAAUUAUAUAUUCUUCUUUUACAUUAGAUUUUUUCAUUUCUUGAUCUAUACACGGUGCAUUUGUUUUGUACGUAACCAUCCACUCAAAUCAAAGAGAAAUAUGUGAAUACAUCAUCUGUCAGAUGUGGCUAUCAGUUUGUUGUUACAAUCUACUACAAUAGGAAUGUUGUCGAGUAGGCAUCACAGAUUGAGAGGGAUAAUAAUAUGAUCGUCUAGCUCCAUAUAUUCAGAAAGCAUCAACCAUUUCAUGAGAUUUGGAAGGUAGGAGAUUGUUUAAAUCCAAUAGCACAGAUUGCAAGAGGGCAGUGAACAACCUGUAACAAUGAUAUGUAUUGAGAUUCAGAACUUUUAAAUGUUUUGAUAACAUUUUCAUGAAAAUGCAUUUGCUUGUUGCUCAUGAUUUGACUUCCAAACAGUUUUAAGGUUGUAAUUCACAUACUAGGUUUCCAAGAUGUACCUCACUCAUAGAGAGAAACGUGAGAGUGUAUGCCAACCUAAAAAGUCAUUCAGGAUCAGUCCACUGUUUGAGUGUCACAAAUAUGAUUGUAAGUGCUGCACUCUUAACUCCUUAGUUUUCUGCUUCCAAAGAUGCUGAUGAAGGUAGUAUAAGUUUUCCAUCUACAUGUACCGUCAUGUAAUGACCUUUUGUGAUGUGAUAACAUACAUGUUAUCCUACUUUGAGGCUGGCAUUGUCUCAAUUUAGCCUCGAACAUGGAAUUCCUUGAGUAGUUAUAAUUUCUGAAAGUUAUAUUGCAUACAUCUACAUGUAUCUCCAUAUAAUCCUCAAACUCCAUCCAUUUUCAUACUGUCACAUCAUUUUUUAGGGAUAAGAACUAUUUUGACCUGCAAAGUGUAAAGUGUAAACAAAAUGACAUCAUUGCUAAGUGUUAUGCUCUCAUCAACUCUCACAUUUUUGUGAAUACUUGUUAGGAUUUUAUAAAUUUUCAUAGUUUAUUAGAGUACUGUGUCCUCUAAAUCAUGCGCUCAUGUGAAGAACUACACUUUCCAACAUUUGCAUUUUAGAUAUUUGCUUUGAAUUUUUUCCAGAUUACAUGUAUGUAUGUGCAGUUUAUCAGUUUCAAAAUUUGUGUUGAUAAUGAUUUAGAAAAAUGGGAAUCUUGAUUUCAUGCAGUUGAAAUAUGUUAUCAUGCUUCUAUCCUACAAAUUAAUUUAUGCCAAUUGCAAUUCAAUUGUUAAUUACUUUUUAAGAAAAUGCAAAUGUUUUCUGAAUGUUUUCUAAACGAGUUUGUAGAAAUCGUUAUCAACAGUUUGUGAAUACAUAUAAUUCUUAUAUAAACUUCUAUUCUGAUUUCUAUA
Long non-coding RNA from Strongylocentrotus purpuratus (purple sea urchin), 1919 nucleotides. RefSeq lists it as uncharacterized. The record is from RefSeq and is a predicted model, not a curated record. The transcript has 2 exons. NCBI's taxonomy places the organism in Eukaryota, Metazoa, Echinodermata, Echinoidea, Camarodonta, Strongylocentrotidae.